CCGCAAGCUAUUUUUAACAACUGUCAAAACAAUGUCAAAACAACAAAAUUGUCCCGGUAAGCGGGAUGAAAUUUUCUCAAAUAAACACAAGAGAAAUCAUCCUGCUUACCUACCUUAGCGGGCUGUCUCGCUAAGCGGGCCAGCCCGGCUUCCAUACAAACAGGCCCUAACAGUCUCUGUCAGGCAAUUACAAUGUUCUAAUGUCCAAACUCUAAAGUAUUAUAAACAAGCAGAACAG
This is a non-coding RNA of Paramuricea clavata, 238 nucleotides long. NCBI's taxonomy places the organism in Eukaryota, Metazoa, Cnidaria, Anthozoa, Malacalcyonacea, Plexauridae. The record is from the annotation of a GenBank genome assembly.